Molecule: long non-coding RNA, 1252 nt
Organism: Tachysurus vachellii
Lineage: Eukaryota; Metazoa; Chordata; Actinopteri; Siluriformes; Bagridae
Exons: 2
Source: RefSeq, a predicted model, not a curated record
UUAUUUAUAAAUGUAUUACUGCAUGGUUUAUUAUUUUAAUGUAACACUGAACUGCACUGUUUGGAUUAAUGUUAGUUAAUAGUUCCUCUAAUCAUCUUUAAACAAACCUCUGGUACUUUUACAGAAGAUUGUUUCACUUUUUACACUAACAUGUUAUAUCUGAACUGAGGGCUGGGCCACAUGGACAAAAUCUUAUAACAUCAUAUGAGUCAUUUUAUAGCUUUUAUAUAUGAAGCAUGAAAAAUUAAGUGUUCUCUAAAAUUUAUGUAAAAAUAUCUCUACAAAAUAACUGCAUGCAUUUAAGAACUAAAGACAUUUCUGAACUAAACACCAGUGAAAGACUUUUUCUUUUCUGUUUAUUCUGAAAGUGACAUUUAACAAAACUCUCACAGACGAGAAAAACAUCAGACUGACAAAAUGGGAUCAAUAUUUUGAUGGGGUUUUUUUUUCUUUGCUUAUCAAGUGUACAAGCAGGUAAAAAGAGAGAGGAUGAAUAAUGUGUCACAGUCGUGCUGAUGUGACGUCACUCUGUAAACAGGGAAGGAGCUCAGAUUUGAGAAGAAAACCCCACGUUCACUUCUCAGUUGUGGAGGCAUGAAAGACAUGAUCCCAUUUACUCUGUGGAGAAAGAAGGGUUCACUAAGUUGUGUUGAAAUAGUAACAGUGACAUCUGUAGUAAACAGUACAAUGUUCUUUCUAAUAUCCUUUAUUUACAUUGUUUAUGAUCGAUGAGAGAUUUUUACACAUCUAUAUUUUAUAAAAAAUACAAAUCAUCAAGAAUCGUUUAUAAGGUUAAAAACUGUAAUCUUUCUCUUUAGUUUGGAUGUGUUUGGACGUAUGUGAACACACCACCUGUACUCAGGUCCACACCAAACACCUGAACCAGUGUGUGUGUAAAAUCAGAGGUCUGGAGGUGACAGAUUUGUACCUGUUCGAGCACAGAGAACAACACACACCAACUGUCUUAGUGUCUCUGUGAAAUCCAACAUAUAACUGAGUGUAAAGUACGACUAGUAUUGUCAUGUUAUUAACUGGUAGUGUACAGCUGUAUAAUUCUUUAUUUUCUGUAAUAAAAUGCACUGUAUCUGCAGUGUUGGUUGUAGAAACUUGAACACAGAUCAGAGUGUAGUGUUUGUAGGCUGCUCGCUCUCACAUGUGUGUGUUAUGUACAUGACCUAAUGGUCUUAUAAUAAAUUGUAGCUGAGAGAUUGUGGAGUGCAGAAAGACGUCCCUGCUCCUGUAAAUGUGCUGA